CCUACGGGAGGCAGCAGUGGGGGAUAUUGCACAAUGGGGGAAACCCUGAUGCAGCGACGCCGCGUGUGGGAAGACGGUCCUCUGGAUUGUAAACCACUGUCCCCAGGGACGAAGAUGACGGUACCUUGGGAGGAAGCUCCGGCUAACUACUUCCCAGCAGCCGCGGUAAUACGUAGGGUGCAAGCGUUACUCGGAAUAACUGGUCAUAAAGAGCGCGUAGGGGGGAUAGGAAGUCAGAUGUGAAAUUCUAUGGCUUAACCAUAGAACUGCAUUUGAAACUGUUAUUCUAGAGUAUGGGAGAGGUAGGUGGAAUUCUUGGUGUAGGGGUAAAAUCCGUAGAGAGCAAGAGGAAUACUCAGUGCGAAGGCGACCUGCUAGAACAUAACUGACGCUGAUGCGCGAAAGCGUGGGGAGCAAACAGGAUUAGAUACCCUUGUAGUC
This 441-nucleotide ribosomal RNA is filed under the name uncultured bacterium. RNAcentral's name for it is "partial 16S ribosomal RNA". It matches the Rfam family "Bacterial small subunit ribosomal RNA", at positions 338 to 795 of the family's 1533-position model. The record is from RNAcentral.